GUCUACGGCCAUACCACCCUGAACAAGCCCGAACUCAUCUGAUCUCGGAAGCUAAGCAGGGUCGGACCUGGUUAUUACUUAGAUGAGAGACCACCUAGGAAGACCAGGUGCUGUAGGCA
Molecule: ribosomal RNA, 119 nt
Filed under: Pteropus alecto (black flying fox)
Lineage: Eukaryota; Metazoa; Chordata; Mammalia; Chiroptera; Pteropodidae
Source: RNAcentral